This 280-nucleotide long non-coding RNA is filed under the name Brassica napus (rape). RNAcentral describes it as "long non-coding RNA (BNAP_LNC022299)". Lineage: Eukaryota; Viridiplantae; Streptophyta; Magnoliopsida; Brassicales; Brassicaceae. The record is from RNAcentral.
CCCACUAACAUCGGUCGACAGAAGUCACCCAAAACCGAACGAUAUCCUCUCCUAGACAUCGAUCGACAACACCUACGGAGUCAACCGCAUCUUGCAAUGCCGUAAGGAUCAUGACUCACGAGAAGAUCGCAGCAAAACACCCACAUCCGCCCAGCCCUGUCUACAUAAACAUCGAUCGACAUUCGCCAUCGAUCGACAUCAAGAGACCGUCAUCGAUCGACAUCAGGAGACCGUAAUCGAUCGAUAACAACGAGCGCCCAUCGAUUGACGAGCACCUAUU